GUAGUCCACGCCGUAAACGAUGAUAACUGGUUGUGCGCGAUACACAGUGCGCGACUGAGCGAAAGCAUUAAGUUAUCCACCUGGGGAGUACGUUGGCAACAAUGAAACUCAAAGGAAUUGACGGGGGCCCGCACAAGCGGAGGAACAUGUGGUUUAAUUCGAUGAUACGCGAGGAACCUUACCUGGGCUUAAAUGUAGAGUGCAUGACUUGGAAACAGGUCUUUCCUUCGGGACUCUUUACAAGGUGCUGCAUGGUUGUCGUCAGCUCGUGCCGUGAGGUGUCGGGUUAAGUCCCAUAACGAGCGCAACCCCUAUCGUUAGUUGCUAGCAGGUAAUGCUGAGGACUCUAGCGAAACUGCCGGUGUAAACCGAGAGGAAGGUGGGGAUGACGUCAAAUCAGCACGGCCCUUAUGUCCAGGGCUACACACGUGUUACAAUGGUCGAUACAAUGGGCAGCUACUUGGUGACAAGAUGCUAAUCUCCAAAGUCGAUCUCAGUUCGGAUCGAAGUCUGCAACUCGACUUCGUGAAGUUGGAUUCGCUAGUAAUCGUAUAUCAGCAAUGAUACGGUGAAUACGUUCCCGGGCCUUGUACACACCGCCCGUCAAACCAUGGAAGCUGGGGGUACCUGAAGUACGUGACCGCAAGGAGCGUCCUAGGGUAAAACUGGUAACUGGGGUU
Molecule: ribosomal RNA, 680 nt
Filed under: uncultured bacterium
Lineage: Bacteria
Description: bacterial SSU rRNA
Rfam family: Bacterial small subunit ribosomal RNA
Source: RNAcentral